RNAcentral lists this ribosomal RNA (700 nucleotides) under uncultured bacterium. RNAcentral's name for it is "bacterial SSU rRNA". It matches the Rfam family "Bacterial small subunit ribosomal RNA", at positions 78 to 796 of the family's 1533-position model. The record is from RNAcentral.
AGCGUUGAUUUAACCUAGUGGCGGACGGGUGAGUAACACGUGAGCAACCUACCUCUCAGUGGGGGAUACCGUUUGGAAACGAACGUUAAUACCGCAUAACGUAACGGGACCGCAUGAUUCUGUUACCAAAGAUUUAUCGCUGAGAGAUGGGCUCGCGUCUGAUUAGAUAGUUGGUGGGGUAACGGCCUACCAAGUCGACGAUCAGUAGCCGGACUGAGAGGUUGAUCGGCCACAUUGGGACUGAGACACGGCCCAGACUCCUACGGGAGGCAGCAGUGGGGGAUAUUGCGCAAUGGGGGAAACCCUGACGCAGCAACGCCGCGUGUGGGAAGAAGGUCUUCGGAUUGUAAACCAUUGUCUCCGGUGACGAUUAUGACGGUAGCCGAGGAGGAAGCUCCGGCUAACUACGUGCCAGCAGCCGCGGUAAUACGUAGGGAGCGAGCGUUGUCCGGAUUUACUGGGUGUAAAGGGUGCGUAGGCGGGACUGCAAGUCAGGCGUGAAAUCUACCGGCUUAACCGGUAAACUGCGCUUGAAACUGUAGUUCUUGAGUGAAGUAGAGGUUAGCGGAAUUCCCGGUGUAGCGGUGGAAUGCGUAGAUAUCGGGAGGAACACCAGUGGCGAAGGCGGCUAACUGGGCUUUUACUGACGCUGAGGCACGAAAGCAUGGGUAGCAAACAGGAUUAGAUACCCUGGUAGUCC